GGCCUGCCUGGCUUGCCUGGGCCCCCAGGUCCCCCUGGACCUCCAGGACGCAUACUUUAUAUCAAAGGAACAGUUUUCCCAGUCCCUCCCAGGCCUCAUUGCAAAAUGCCAGUGAACACUCCCUAUCCUGGAAACCAAGAAGUCCUUAAUGACCAUGGUG
Non-coding RNA from Cyanistes caeruleus (blue tit), 160 nucleotides. Lineage: Eukaryota; Metazoa; Chordata; Aves; Passeriformes; Paridae. The record is from RefSeq and is a predicted model, not a curated record.